Molecule: transfer RNA, 68 nt
Filed under: Marmota monax (woodchuck)
Lineage: Eukaryota; Metazoa; Chordata; Mammalia; Rodentia; Sciuridae
Also listed under: 1 other name
Rfam family: tRNA
About the family: Transfer RNA (tRNA) molecules are approximately 80 nucleotides in length. Their secondary structure includes four short double-helical elements and three loops (D, anti-codon, and T loops). Further hydrogen bonds mediate the characteristic L-shaped molecular structure. tRNAs have two regions of fundamental functional importance: the anti-codon, which is responsible for specific mRNA codon recognition, and the 3' end, to which the tRNAs corresponding amino acid is attached (by aminoacyl-tRNA synthetases). tRNAs cope with the degeneracy of the genetic code in two manners: having more than one tRNA (with a specific anti-codon) for a particular amino acid; and 'wobble' base-pairing, i.e. permitting non-standard base-pairing at the 3rd anti-codon position.
Source: Rfam by way of RNAcentral
GGUUGUGGCUCAGUGGUAGAGCACUCGCCUAGCAUGUGCGGGGCACCUGGGUUCAAUCCUCAGCACCA